UUAUCUGAAACCAAAAUAGAGGUUUAUCACUGUUAAUGAUAUCAUUGAAUUAAAUCCAGAUAAG
Molecule: transfer RNA, 64 nt
Filed under: Myrmecophilus sp.
Lineage: Eukaryota; Metazoa; Arthropoda; Insecta; Orthoptera; Myrmecophilidae
Description: tRNA-Asn
Source: RNAcentral